CUUCGAAAAAUAGCCGGUGGAUGUGGAGCUGCGGCGGGGGAAGCGCAGGCAUGUUUCGAUCACUUAAGAAGAAUAAACUUGUGAAACUCAGACGCCGCGGUGAAAGUACAAAGUAUGGAGUCGCGGCUGCAAAUGUGAAAGAACUUCUCAGAAAAGGCUGCAGUAUUUUAAAGGUACCACUGAAGGGAUCUCGGGUUUGCCUGUAUGAAGAUGGAACCGAAGUUGGUGAUGAUUACUUCAGAAUGCUUCCGGACAACGUUGAACUCGUUCUGUUGCCUGAAGGACAGAGCUGGGAUGGAUUUGCGUCUGAUAUUAGCCUUCUGCUUGGCUCCACGAACCGUCAUUACGACCUUUUAAUCAAAUCUGCCAAGAACCUUCUCACCGAUGAACAGUCUCAGAGAAAGAGGAAAAUCCUAAGUGAUCUACUUCAGAAUCUAGAGGACAACUCCGAAAGUGAAAAAAGGGAAGAGGACAGCGACUGGUUCCAGGGAAUUGACACUAGAUUUAAGACCAAGUCUGAUUACAUGAAAUACAACUGUGAAAGCAGAAUUCGAGGAUAUUUGAAAGAGGUGGAUGGAUAUGCUUCGAACAUUCAGAGUUCCAGGGUUCGGACCGAAUACAAGAAAAUCGUCACCAGUAUGCUUGAGAAACUGAAAGCCACCAAGUACAACGGCUGCUAUUUCGACAGACGAGAGGGGGCUGACUGCAUGUGCUCCGGGGAAGGCUGGUUUUCUUGUCAGGUGAGUAGCUCACUAGGGUUGGCCUGCACCAUAAAAAUUAGUGCUUUGUUUAUUUUCUUUUCUGGUCUGGUAGUCAGGGAAAAAGUAUCAGUGCACAUGUAUAGUAACCCAUAUAUAAGGAGAACCAUCUCGCAUUGCUUUAUUUGCACCGAGGAAAGUCCAACAUGGACUGAAACGUUUGUACUUUUGCACUCUAUGCACUUUGUACAGCCCUAUAAAAUAACGAAUAGAAAUAUGUUACAUUCAGACUCUGGUCUCAAUUGUUUUUUGUUCUCUGUGUAGGAGCCCUUCCUCGCUACAUUGUUUCUUGUCAGGUGAAAACGUGAUUUUGCACUCGGUGAACGAACGCAUGGCAGAAUAAUACAGCAUCACGUCACUUGUGAGUUUACAUGGUGGCUUGGCAGGUGCUGUGAUUCUGCAUGCGUCGGUUGGCUUUUACAUUAGAAUUAUUUAUAUGGCUGAUUCUGUUGAGCGCAGCAGAUUACAGAUAGUACUUUUCCUGACGGCCCCCACCUUGGUGUGCCCUACUGCGGCACUGGGCCCUUGCUGUGAUGCAUAGGCCCCCUGUGGUGAGGAUGACCUGAGAACCCAAGCUGGCUUGAGCUUCACUGAGUGGUCUAGACAGCAGGGUUCCUCUAUCAUUCGUUGCUUUAUUACAAUGUCUGCUGCGCGCUGUAGCUCUCGCUGUGGAAUUGAACUGCGCACACCGAGGGCUAACCCUCACCCCUGCUGUGAUAGAAUCAACGCCACAACCUGAAAUUUGCCAUUCCAGCCUGCUCUACAAAAGGCUGCUGGAAAGUGCUAUCGCUACAAUGGUUAAUGUCAGUGAAUUCACAUGAAAUGACAUGUAUAAGAACCUGCUUCUUCACACAGGGUGCUUUUGAUCAGGACAGCUGCUCAUCCCUCCACUCUAUUAAUCCAUACGGGAACAGAGAGAGCAGAAUCCUCUUCAGCACCUGGAACCUCGACCACAUAUUGCUGUUCACGUGCGAGAACUUGAAACUGGUACAUAUCGUCUGCCACAAGAAGACCGUUCAUGACCUGACAUGCGACAGUGCAAAAAUAUACAAGGUGAAGAAAAGGAAAUAACUGCGACAUGAAUUUUUUUUUUUUCCCUCCUCGCUUCAAGGACGUAACUGAAAAAUCAUCAUAAACAAGAUCCAUCCAUCUUUUAACCAAUUAUCAUUGUCACAAAGGUGCCCGAAGACAAUUCAGGCAAGACAAUGCUGGGAUUUACCCGGAAUGGCAGGCCACUUCAGUGCAAAGCACUAAUUCGUCAUACAGUGUGAGAA
Molecule: RNA transcript, 2032 nt
Organism: Brienomyrus brachyistius
Lineage: Eukaryota; Metazoa; Chordata; Actinopteri; Osteoglossiformes; Mormyridae
Gene: dffb
Gene name: DNA fragmentation factor, beta polypeptide (caspase-activated DNase)
Exons: 6
Source: RefSeq, a predicted model, not a curated record